RNAcentral lists this long non-coding RNA (213 nucleotides) under Mytilus galloprovincialis (Mediterranean mussel). The record is from RNAcentral. Lineage: Eukaryota; Metazoa; Mollusca; Bivalvia; Mytilida; Mytilidae.
UGGGUAACAAAAUUCGGACGGAAGGACAAAUAGAGGAACGAACGCACGCACGAAAAGACAGACGGACUUCCCGGCACUAUAUACAUACAACCUGCUUUAAAAAGCGGAAGUAAAUUAAUAUCUUAUAAAAUCUAACAGUAUCUGAAAGUACUUUAACACAGAAUUAACCACCAAGUCAUCAUAUAUUCGAAUAUCAGUCGACGUACUUCCGAU